RNA transcript from Setaria italica (foxtail millet), 1501 nucleotides. RefSeq lists it as uncharacterized. The transcript is spliced from 6 exons. Lineage: Eukaryota; Viridiplantae; Streptophyta; Magnoliopsida; Poales; Poaceae. The record is from RefSeq and is a predicted model, not a curated record.
GCCUCCCAACUCUUUCCUCCGCCCUCCUCUUGACCACCCGCACUCUCUCACCAUUCUAGUACAAGCUCCCGCUGCCGCAGCCGACACCCGCGCUCUCCCGCACCACUACCUGGUCACCCCGCUUCAGCCGCCUGCGUACUCCCGAUCACAUCGGAGGUAACGGCACACAUCUUCCCCGAUCUGCGUUCCGCAACGACCAACCUGAGGAGGAGGAUCGCGGGGUAGCCAAACAGCCCACUGACAGAUCCAGAUCUAUUUGUGCGUCCGAUGACGCUGUAGAUCUGUGAAGCAGCCCUCCUAAAACACCUCUUGUGCUUCACUAUUGCUGCUUUCUAGUAGAUCGUCUGCUUUUCUAAUAAUCGUUUAGUUUUUAUUUUUUCCGACACUUCUAUUUCAGGUCUACAUAAUUUUUUUGGGAAGCAAGAAGCCUGAGAAGUGGGGGAGACGAGGGCUGGAGUAGGCAUGCAGGAUACUCUCCAUGCCAGAAUCUGCAAGAGUGUUGUUGCAGUAUCUAUUAAAAAAAAUAAAAAACAAAGAUGUAACUGAAGUCACUAUUGUAUUACCAAACACAAAGAAAGUGGUCCUUCAGCUAGGACGUGUGAAGCUUUUUCAGAAUGUUGCUUGCAUCCGAUGCUUUGAUCCCACACCAGGACAAGACUCUUGGCUGGAGGAAUUGGUUGGCAUGGAUCUCUGUGAACAAAUUCAAGAAAAUGAUAAAGUUUUUACAUUCAGCGACAACAACAACAAGAAGUUGUUGACUCCUGGCAGAAUUAUCUUAAUUGAAGAUAAAACAUUUGAUCAUAAUUGUGCAUCAGACCUAUAUUCAUGUUGUGGAGCACCAGUAAUUAAUGAAGCCGGACAGUUUGUUGGCAUGUGUACAAAAUUAACCGAUGGAUAUCUUACUGCGGUUAAGGCGAAGGAAGUAGCACAAAUGAUUGACAAUGCUGAAAAAAGAACUCACACGACCAUUGCAGAUACCUUACAAAAUUUGCGCCAGUGAAAGGGUUCAGGUUCUCAGGAGGGCCUGGACGCAGAUGUUUUCCCAUCAACUCUUGGCCGUUGUGUUGAAGAAUGGGGCAAUGUCUUGAGAAGUUUUUCGGUGCAGAAGGUGUUGGCCUCCAUACCGCACCUAAAUUUGCAACAUUAGGCUGUCCUUCUGAUGGUAUGGUCGCUCCAGGAUCUUGUUUGGCACCACUGCAUUUCAGGUUGCUGUUACUUUUUUGCUUCUUGCUUUUCACUAGAUUGCUAAGCUGGAUUUCGUUAGAAUAGAGCUCUGUGGCUAUUUGUAAUGCAUGUGUCCGAACUACUGGUGAGGCAUGGCCGAUGUGAUGCAGAAUAAGGAAAUUUCUACUGUAGAAUUGAGUAGUGUGUUUAUUUGUAAUGCAUGUUUCCAAAUUACUAAUUUUGUGUAUGUUCGUUCUUCGUUGCAUUCCAGACUUCAGACGUAAUCUGUACAUAAGUGGUGAAAGACAGAAUAAAUUGAAACAAGAUCUUGUAAUCA